This 326-nucleotide ribosomal RNA is filed under the name uncultured eukaryote. RNAcentral describes it as "partial 18S ribosomal RNA". It matches the Rfam family "Eukaryotic small subunit ribosomal RNA", at positions 1470 to 1796 of the family's 1831-position model. The record is from RNAcentral.
CCCUUAGAUGUCCGGGGCCGCACGCGCGCUACACUGAUAAUGUCAACAAGCUUUACCUUGGCCGAUAGGUCUGGGCAAUCUUCGAACUAUUAUCGUGAUGGGGCUAGAUUAUUGCAACUAUUAAUCUUAAACGAGGAAUUCCUAGUAAGCGCGAGUCAUCAGCUCGCGUUGAUUACGUCCCUGCCCUUUGUACACACCGCCCGUCGCUCCUACCGAUUGGAUUGGCUGGUGAAGCGUUCGGAUUGUGGGUUCGGAGCGGUUCGCCGUUCUGGGCUUGCGAGAAGUUCGUGAAACCCUCCUAUCUAGAGGAAGGAGAAGUCGUAACA